UAAAACAAUGGUUAACAGGAACAGCCGGGGGCAUUCGUAUCGCUGCGCGAGAGGUGAAAUUCGUGGACCGUAGCGAGACGUCCUACAGCGAAGGCAUUUGCCAAGAGUGUUUUCAUUAAUCAAGAACGAAAGUCAGAGGUUCGAAGGCGAUUAGAUACCGCUCUAGUUCUGACCGUAAACGAUGCCAACUGUCGAUCCGCUUGUGGAUUUUAUUCAUGAGCGGGGAGAUUUCCGGAAACGAAAGUUUUUCGGUUUCGGGGGAAGUAUGGUUGCAAAGCUGAAACUUAAAGGAAUUGACGGAAGGGCACCACCAGGAGUGGAGCUUGCGGCUUAAUUUGACUCAACACGGGAAAUCUCACCCGGCCAGUACAUCGUAAGGAUUGACAGACUGACAGCUCUUUCAUGAUUCGGUGAAUGGUGGUGCAUGGCCGUUCUUAGUUCGUGGAUUGAUUUGUCUGGUUUAUUCCGAUAACGAACGAGACUUUAACUAUUAAAUAGUGCGCAUGUUGCUUCGGCUGCGUGUGAUCACUUCUUAAAGGAAUUUGUGGUUUUCAACCUCAAGAAAUUGAGCAAUAACAGGUCUGUGAUGCCCUUAGAUGUUCGGGGCCGCACGCGUGCUACAAUGGUGGUAACAGCGUGAUUGUCCUUUUCCGACAGGAAUUGGCAAACAGUUGAGAUAUUAUUAUGGCUGGAAUUGAGUGUUGAAAUUUUCUCUCAUGAACGAGGAAUUCCAAGUAAAUGUGAGUCAUUAACUUGCAUUGAUUACGUCCCUGCCCUUUGUACACACCGCCCGUCGCUGCCCGGGACUGAGUUACUUCGAGAAAACUAGGGAUCGCUGGAGUUCGAUGUUUCGGCAUUGUCUUUGGUGAGAACUAGUUUAAUCGCAGUGGCUUGAACCAGG
Molecule: ribosomal RNA, 901 nt
Filed under: Bursaphelenchus xylophilus (pine wood nematode)
Lineage: Eukaryota; Metazoa; Nematoda; Chromadorea; Rhabditida; Aphelenchoididae
Description: SSU rRNA
Rfam family: Eukaryotic small subunit ribosomal RNA
Source: RNAcentral